RNAcentral lists this RNase P RNA (293 nucleotides) under Actinobacillus succinogenes 130Z. RNAcentral describes it as "RNA component of RNaseP". It matches the Rfam family "Bacterial RNase P class A", at positions 43 to 351 of the family's 367-position model. From Rfam's summary of the family: Ribonuclease P (RNase P) is a ubiquitous endoribonuclease, found in archaea, bacteria and eukarya as well as chloroplasts and mitochondria. Its best characterised activity is the generation of mature 5'-ends of tRNAs by cleaving the 5'-leader elements of precursor-tRNAs. Lineage: Bacteria; Pseudomonadati; Pseudomonadota; Gammaproteobacteria; Pasteurellales; Pasteurellaceae. The record is from RNAcentral.
GAGGAAAGUCCGGGCUACAUAGGGCAGAGUGCCGGAUAACGUCCGGGGGGCGCGAGCCUACGACAAGUGCAGCAGAGAGCAGACCGCCGUUUUUAAUAAAACGGUAAGGGUGAAAGGGUGCGGUAAGAGCGCACCGCGCGGGUGGUAACAUUCCGCGGCAAGGUAAACUCCACUCGUAGCAAGACCAAAUAGGAACUCAAUGAGUGUGCCCGCUCAGAGUUCGGGUAGGUUGCUUGAGCGACGGAGCAAUUCGUCGCCUAGAGGAAUGAUUGUCCGCGACAGAACCCGGCUUA